Kogia breviceps (pygmy sperm whale) is the source of this 1899-nucleotide non-coding RNA. The record is from RefSeq and is a predicted model, not a curated record. Lineage: Eukaryota; Metazoa; Chordata; Mammalia; Artiodactyla; Physeteridae.
AAUUCUGUCGGCUUCACAGAGUAUAUCUGGAAUCUGACCACUUCUCACCUCCCCUGCCACCUCUCCCAUCUGAGCUGCCAUCGUCUCCCAUCUUGGUCAUUGUGGUAGCUUCCUCAAUGCUCCCUUGCUUCCACUCUUCCCUCCUGUACUGUAUAUUCAGCCCAGAUGGAGCUCAUUAAAAAUUCAACUGGCAUUCUUUCUAGGGCUGCCAUGAAAGUUGUGUGGGUUGGAUGCCUGGCCAAAGGACCAAGCGCAGACCCAGGCUCUGCUUGCCAAGCUGUGUGCCCAGCCACCGGGUAGCCUCUGCCCAGAGGAGUGACCUUCUCCUAAUUUGCAUGAAGAUGCUCUAUAAGGAAGAACUGUCUGAAGGACAGGGCAGAGAAGAUGGAACGGUGGCCAACAGCCAUCCAGAUCCAUGUAUCCAACUGCCCGCUGCUUUCUACGUACCUGGAAGUCUCUCAGGCACCCCCAAAGCAGCAAGUCCAAAAUUGAACUCAUUGGCUCCCUUCCUUCACCCUCCCAUAAACCUGCUCUUCUUACUUCAACUGGUGGCCAUAGCAGUUCCCAUGCCAGAAACCUAGGACACCCCCUCACUACCUCUCACUCUUUUACCCCCACAUGCAAUCAAUCUUCUAAAAAUUUUUUCAAAAAGAUACCCCCUUUUGGGACUUCCCUGGUGGUCCAGUGGUUAAGACUUCACCUUCCAAUGCGGGGGGUGCGGGUUCAGUCCCUGGUCGGGGAGCUAAGCUCCCACAUGCCUCGUGACCAAAAAACCAAAACACAUAAAACAGAAGCAAUAUUGUAACAAAUUCAAUAAAGACUUUUAAGAAAUGGUCCUCAUUAAAAAAAAAAAAAGAUACCCCCUUUCACUGCCUUAGUUCAGUUCCUCAUUGUCUCACUUGUUCUCUAUGACAGCAGCCUCCCAACCCUUUUUCCACUGCCAUCACCCCAGUUCACCCUGCAGCCAGAGUGGUCUUUCUUAAAAGCGUAUCUGACUCUGUGACUCAGAUAUGAGAACCCUUGAGAACCCUUCAAGGGUCCCUCGUGACAAGAGGGUGCUAUCUAAGCUUUCAGACCCCCACAUGGCCCAGCCCCACCUGCCCCUCCGACCUCACAGUCCACUCCUUCCUGAUCUUAUAGUUUUUCCUCCUGUAAACAUGAGCUACAUGUCGUUCCCAGGACAUGCCGUGUGACCUCACGCCUCCAUGCUCUGUAGAUGUGCUCCCCUCUGCCCGCAGUGCUUUCCUCCACCUUCUCUCCCAGGCAAGCGCCUCUUUCAUCUACCAUCUUAGAAAGUCAUUUGGAUGGAGCAGCAUCAAAUCCUGCUUUCUUGCUUACUAGUUGGAAAUUUAGGUCACUUUUAAAAACCCUCUGUGCCUCUGUUUCUCUUCUGUAAAAUGAGAAUAAUGACAGAGCCCACCUCAUUGAGUUUUUCUAGUCAUUAAGGGAGUUAAUUGAUGGAAGGUUCUAGCAAUGUGUCUGGAACAUGGUAAACAAUAAAUGUUUGCUGGGUUUUAAUUAUCUAAUCAAUCCUCAAAUAAAUCACCUCUUCUGUCUUCGAUGCCAUUUCUGCACCUUGUUCAAAUGUCUGCCAUGCACUUACCUCAGUAUGAGAUGACUGGUUUACUCGUCUGUCUCUCAGACUGGACUCACGGGACUGGGGGCUCUUUGAGGGCCAGUCUUUAAAUGAGGGCUCAGUAAAUAUUGAUUCCAUUUAAUUGACCUAAUGAAAUAAAGACCAACCUUCAGUAAGAUGUUCAGAAGGGCUACGCCAGGAGGGAACCCUGCAAACUCUUUUCUUCCAGUUCGUGGCUCUGUAGCAGUUUGUGUUCCAAGGUGGCCCGGCAGCCCCUCUGCCUUCAUGGCCAAUGCCCCGUCUCCGGCUUCCACACUGCCGCU